This 841-nucleotide small RNA is filed under the name Pan troglodytes (chimpanzee). RNAcentral describes it as "processed transcript". The record is from RNAcentral. Lineage: Eukaryota; Metazoa; Chordata; Mammalia; Primates; Hominidae.
GUUAACGUGUCCCGCGAGCGAGGCGCGUCGCAAAAGGUCGCGGCGGAACUUCCCUGCGCUUUUCAGACCAUACGCUUUACGGUACUAGGCAUUGCUGAGCUGGGAGAUGUCGGCGGCGUGUUGGGAGGAACCGUGGGGUCCUCCCGGCGGCUUUGCGAAGCGGGUCCUGGUGACCGGCGGUGCUGGUUUCAUGUAGGUAAUGGCGCCGCUAGCCAAGCAGUGGCUCCCCAGAAACCCCUACCUUUUCCCGCAGCUCUGCUUGCCCUAGUGCAUCACAUAUGAUUGUCUCUUUAGUGGAAGAUUAUCCAAACUAUAUGAUCAUAAAUCUAGACAAGCUGGAUUACUGUGCAAGCUUGAAGAAUCUUGAAACCAUUUCUAACAAACAGAACUACAAAUUUAUACAGGGUGACAUAUGUGAUUCUCACUUUGUGAAACUGCUUUUUGAAACAGAGAAAAUAGAUAUAGUACUACAUUUUGCCGCACAAACACAUGUAGAUCUUUCAUUUGUACAUGCCUUUGAGUUUACCUAUGUUAAUGUUUAUGGCACUCACGUUUUGGUAAGUGCUGCUCAUGAAGCCAGAGUGGAGAAGUUUAUUUACGUCAGCACAGAUGAAGUAUAUGGUGGCAGUCUUGAUAAGGAAUUUGAUGAAUCUUCACCCAAACAACCUACAAAUCCUUAUGCAUCAUCUAAAGCAGCUGCUGAAUGUUUUGUACAGUCUUACUGGGAACAAUAUAAGUUUCCAGUUGUUAUCACAAGAAGCAGUAAUGUUUAUGGACCACAUCAAUAUCCAGAAAAGGUUAUUCCAAAAUUUAUAUCUUUGCUACAGCACAACAGGAAAUG